Molecule: ribosomal RNA, 1466 nt
Filed under: uncultured Bacteroidota bacterium
Lineage: Bacteria; Pseudomonadati; Bacteroidota
Description: bacterial SSU rRNA
Rfam family: Bacterial small subunit ribosomal RNA
Source: RNAcentral
GACGAACGCUGGCGGCGGGCUUAACACAUGCAAGUCGAAGGGGAUUCAGGAAGCUUGCUUCCUGAUGAGACUGGCGCACGGGUGAGUAACACGUAAGAAAUCUGGCUACAGGAGGGGGAUAACAUCGGGAAACCGGUGCUAAUACCGCAUGAUGCAGCGGGGCCGCAUGGCCACAGUUGUUAAAGGAGCAAUCCACCUGUAGAUGAUCUUGCGGGCCAUUAGUUAGUUGGUGAGGUAACGGCUCACCAAGGCGAUGAUGGCUAGGGGUUCUGAGAGGAUGAUCCCCCACACUGGAACUGAGACACGGUCCAGACUCCUACGGGAGGCAGCAGUGAGGAAUAUUGCGCAAUGGGCGAAAGCCUGACGCAGCCACGCCGCGUGCCGGAAGACGGUCCUAUGGAUUGUAAACGGCUUUUACCAGGGAAGAAUCAUCUCGAUUCGUCGGGAUCUGACGGUACCUGGUGAAUAAGCACCGGCUAACUCCGUGCCAGCAGCCGCGGUAAUACGGAGGGUGCAAGCGUUGUCCGGAAUCAUUGGGUGUAAAGGGUGCGUAGGCGGGUCUUUAAGUCUGGGGUGAAAUCUUGCGGCUCAACCGUAAAAUGGCCUCGGAUACUGGAGACCUUGAGUAUGACAGAGGGUGGCGGAAUUCGUAGUGUAGCGGUGAAAUGCAUAGAUAUUACGAAGAACACCAGUGGCGUAGGCGGCCACCUGGGUCAUAACUGACGCUGAGGCACGAGAGCGUGGGGAGCGAACAGGAUUAGAUACCCUGGUAGUCCACGCUGUAAACGAUGUAUACUAGGUGUCGGGUCCUUCGGGAUUCGGUGCUGCAGCUAACGCAUUAAGUAUACCACCUGGGGAGUACGUCGGCAACGAUGAAACUCAAAGGAAUUGACGGGGGCCCGCACAAGCGGUGGAGCAUGUGGCUUAAUUCGAUGCAACGCGAAGAACCUUACCUGGGCUAAAUCUGCGGUUAAGUGACCCGAAAGGGGAUCGUCUCAGUUUACUGAGGACCGUAGAAGGUGCUGCAUGGCUGUCGUCAGCUCGUGCCGUGAGGUGUUGGGUUAAGUCCCGCAACGAGCGCAACCCCUAUGGUUAGUUACCAGCACGUAAUGGUGGGGACUCUGGCCAGACUGCCUACGCAAGUAGUGAGGAAGGUGGGGACGACGUCAAGUCAUCAUGGCCCUUACGUCCAGGGCUGCACACGUGCUACAAUGGCCGGCACAACGGGUCGCGACCCCGCGAGGGGGAGCUAAUCUCCAAAGCCGGUCCCAGUUCGGAUCGCAGUCUGCAACUCGACUGCGUGAAGUUGGAAUCGCUAGUAAUCGCGUAUCAGCAACGACGCGGUGAAUACGUUCUCGGGCCUUGUACACACCGCCCGUCAAGCGAUGGAAGUGAGGAGUACCUGAUGCCGCCGCGCUAACCCUUCGGGGAGGCCGGUGUCCAGGGUAAGCCUCAUAACUGGCGCU